RNAcentral lists this ribosomal RNA (496 nucleotides) under uncultured bacterium. Its description in RNAcentral is "partial 16S ribosomal RNA". It matches the Rfam family "Bacterial small subunit ribosomal RNA", at positions 29 to 507 of the family's 1533-position model. The record is from RNAcentral.
AUGAACGCUGGCGGCGUGCCUAAUACCUGCAAGUCGCGCGAACAGACGAGGAGCUUGCUCCUCUGACGUUAGCGGCGGCCGGGUGAGUAACACGUGGAUAACCUACCUAUAAGACUGGGAUAACUUCGGGAAACCGGAGCUAAUACCGGAUAAUAUAUUGAACCGCAUGGUUCAAUAGUGAAAGACGGUUUUGCUGUCACUUAUAGAUGGAUCCGCGCCGCAUUAGCUAGUUGGUAAGGUAACGGCUUACCAAGGCAACGAUGCGUAGCCGACCUGAGAGGGUGAUCGGCCACACUGGAACUGAGACACGGUCCAGACUCCUACGGGAGGCAGCAGUAGGGAAUCUUCCGCAAUGGGCGAAAGCCUGACGGAGCAACGCCGCGUGAGUGAUGAAGGUCUUCGGAUCGUAAAACUCUGUUAUUAGGGAAGAACAAAUGUGUAAGUAACUAUGCACGUCUUGACGGUACCUAAUCAGAAAGCCACGGCUAACUACGUG